CACUUAAUGUGCAUCUGAGAACAUAAUAUAAUGUGCCUUUUUUUUAACCCUUUAGCUGCUAGAUCAUGUCUAUGCAUCAUCUUAAAGGGGCACUCUAAAUACUAUAAACACUAGAGGUCAUUGUAGUGGUUAUGGUUGAAAGAUUUGGGGGCCAUGCUUGUAUUUAACAGUUUGAGUGAUUUACAGAAACCAUGUCUCUCCCCAGCACCCAAACCCUGAACACAUGUUCAUCAUACUCCAACACGCCCACACGCACAAUCAUAUCUGUCCAGGAUUUUGUAAUUACCAUAUUGUCUCAGGGCCACUCUUUAUAGGAUUGUUAAUCACUCAAACUGGGGGACUGCACCCACAAAAACUACAGUGAACUGUAAUAUUGCAAUCAGCUGUCAUAACACACUGAGCUGCAGUGGUUAUGGUGCUUAGGGUUUACCUUUCAUUUACGCAUAUUCACGUAAGGAUCGUGCCAGUUUG
Molecule: non-coding RNA, 471 nt
Organism: Pelobates cultripes (western spadefoot toad)
Lineage: Eukaryota; Metazoa; Chordata; Amphibia; Anura; Pelobatidae
Source: the annotation of a GenBank genome assembly